AUAACUUAGUGGCGGACGGGUGGGUAACGCGUGGGUAACCUGCCUUACACAGGGGGAUAACACUUAGAAAUAGGUGCUAAUACCGCAUAAGCGCACAGUCCCGCAUGGGACAGAGUGAAAAACAUUAGUGGUGUAAGAUGGACCCGCGUCUGAUUAGCUUGUUGGCGGGGUAACGGCCCACCAAGGCGACGAUCAGUAGCCGGCCUGAGAGGGUGGACGGCCACAUUGGGACUGAGACACGGCCCAAACUCCUACGGAAGGCAGCAG
RNAcentral lists this ribosomal RNA (267 nucleotides) under uncultured bacterium. Its description in RNAcentral is "partial 16S ribosomal RNA". It matches the Rfam family "Bacterial small subunit ribosomal RNA", at positions 87 to 354 of the family's 1533-position model. The record is from RNAcentral.